This 886-nucleotide ribosomal RNA is filed under the name Dolerus sp. Sus5. RNAcentral's name for it is "SSU rRNA". It matches the Rfam family "Eukaryotic small subunit ribosomal RNA", at positions 594 to 1418 of the family's 1831-position model. Lineage: Eukaryota; Metazoa; Arthropoda; Insecta; Hymenoptera; Tenthredinidae. The record is from RNAcentral.
AUAGCGUAUAUUAAAGUUGUUGCGGUUAAAAAGCUCGUAGUUGAAUCUGUGUCCCACGCUGCCGGUUCGCCGCUCGCGGUGUUUAACUGGCAUGAUUGUGGGACGUCCUACCGGUGGGCUUAGCCUCUCGGGGCGGCCCAACUAAUAUCCCAUCGCGGUGCUCUUCACUGAGUGUCGAGGUGGGCCGGUACGUUUACUUUGAACAAAUUAGAGUGCUUAAAGCAGGCUAUUUUCGCCUGAAUACUGUGUGCAUGGAAUAAUGGAAUAGGACCUCGGUUCUAUUUUGUUGGUUUUCGGAACCCCGAGGUAAUGAUUAAUAGGGACAGAUGGGGGCAUUCGUAUUGCGACGUUAGAGGUGAAAUUCUUGGAUCGUCGCAAGACGGACAGAAGCGAAAGCAUUUGCCAAAAAUGUUUUCUUUAAUCAAGAACGAAAGUUAGAGGUUCGAAGGCGAUCAGAUACCGCCCUAGUUCUAACCAUAAACGAUGCCAGCUAGCGAUCCGCCGAAGUUCCUCCGAUGACUCGGCGGGCAGCUUCCGGGAAACCAAAGCUUUUGGGUUCCGGGGGAAGUAUGGUUGCAAAGCUGAAACUUAAAGGAAUUGACGGAAGGGCACCACCAGGAGUGGAGCCUGCGGCUUAAUUUGACUCAACACGGGAAACCUCACCAGGCCCGGACACCGGAAGGAUUGACAGAUUGAGAGCUCUUUCUUGAUUCGGUGGGUGGUGGUGCAUGGCCGUUCUUAGUUGGUGGAGCGAUUUGUCUGGUUAAUUCCGAUAACGAACGAGACUCUAGCCUGCUAAAUAGGCGUACUUUCCGGUAUCUCGAAGGCCCCCGGCUUCGGUCGGGUGGUUUUUACUACCGGCGUACAAAUAAAUCUUCUUAGAGGG